Molecule: long non-coding RNA, 562 nt
Filed under: Hordeum vulgare
Lineage: Eukaryota; Viridiplantae; Streptophyta; Magnoliopsida; Poales; Poaceae
Description: long non-coding RNA (HVUL_LNC011034)
Source: RNAcentral
UAGUUGACAUGUAAAUCAAGACCACACUGGGCAAGCGGACAUCAUCAGCUGAGUGACACAACAGUUAGUUUCAAGUGUGUUUCCCUUUUUGCUGUUGUCUCUUGUGCUGAGAAGAAACGGAAUGAAAGCCAAUGAUAUCAAGGAGGAAACAUACGAAGAACCUGACUGACAUUCUCCAUGCAUGUCCUACCUUAAAAUCAUGGUGUCUUAGAAUCAGCCAUCGUCGUCCCCGCUGCCGAAAGUGCGCCGCGAGCAAUCCAACCGCUGCAGUCAAAGCCAAACGACCAACACUAAUUAUGCAGCCUCUACUGAUUAAUCAUACGCGUCAGUUUAUUCCCUUCGACCGGGAACGAGACAAGGGCAGGCAGCAGAGCCGCAGUACAUAUUCCAGAGUGACACGAGGAGGAAGAGAACAGAGCUGAGCUAGCUACAUAGCCAAACAAAGCAAACCAAACCGCUGCUAUCCUACUGAUGUGAAAAUACCUCUGCUAGUAGGUUUGGUGAAACUAUGGAUAGUGCUAGUCCUUGGCUCCGGCCGGCUCGUCGACGACGACGGUGAUCC